GUGGGGAAUCUUGUGCAAUGGACGAAAGUCUGACACAGCCACGCCGCGUGCGGGAAGAAGGCCUUCGGGUUGUAAACCGCUUUCAGCAGGAACGAAAAUGACGGUACCUGCAGAAGAAGAUGCGGCCAACUACGUGCCAGCAGCCGCGGUGACACGUAGGCAUCAAGCGUUGUCCGGAUUUAUUGGGCGUAAAGAGCUCGUAGGCGGUUUAGUAAGUCGGGUGUGAAAACUCUGGGCUUAACCCAGAGCCUGCACUCGAAACUGCUAUGACUAGAGUUCGGUAGGGGAGUGGGGAAUUCCUGGUGUAGCGGUGAAAUGCGCAGAUAUCAGGAGGAACACCGAUGGCGAAAGCACCACUCUGGGCCGAAACUGACGCUGAGGAGCGAAAGCGUGGGUAGCAAACAGGAUUAGAUACCCGAGUAGUCC
This 426-nucleotide ribosomal RNA is filed under the name uncultured bacterium. RNAcentral describes it as "bacterial SSU rRNA". It matches the Rfam family "Bacterial small subunit ribosomal RNA", at positions 354 to 796 of the family's 1533-position model. The record is from RNAcentral.